RNAcentral lists this ribosomal RNA (201 nucleotides) under uncultured bacterium. RNAcentral describes it as "partial 16S ribosomal RNA". It matches the Rfam family "Bacterial small subunit ribosomal RNA", at positions 334 to 527 of the family's 1533-position model. The record is from RNAcentral.
UACUCCUACGGGAGGCAGCAGUAGGGAAUCUUCCACAAUGGGCGCAAGCCUGAUGGAGCAACACCGCGUGAGUGAAGAAGGGUUUCGGCUCGUAAAACUCUGUUGUUGGAGAAGAACGUGCGUAAGAGUAACUGUUUACGCAGUGACGGUAUCCAACCAGAAAGUCACGGCUAACUACGUGCCAGCAGCCGCGGUAAUACA